This 131-nucleotide small RNA is filed under the name Salmonella enterica. Its description in RNAcentral is "RtT sRNA". It matches the Rfam family "RtT RNA". Rfam says of the family: This family represents a bacterial cis-regulatory element known as RtT RNA. The exact function of RtT is unknown although it is thought that it may be involved in changing the cellular response in relation to amino acid starvation. The record is from RNAcentral. RNAcentral also lists the same sequence under 1 other name. Lineage: Bacteria; Pseudomonadati; Pseudomonadota; Gammaproteobacteria; Enterobacterales; Enterobacteriaceae.
AUAUCUCUCUGUACCGGAAGGAUGAGAAGCUUCGACUAAGGUUCGAUUCGAGCGCAGCGAGAAAGCGUUGCCGCAGGCAACGACCCGAAGGGCGAAGCGCGCAGCGCUGAGUCAUCCUUCCCCCACCACCA